This is a non-coding RNA of Phrynosoma platyrhinos (Desert horned lizard), 72 nucleotides long. The record is from the annotation of a GenBank genome assembly. Lineage: Eukaryota; Metazoa; Chordata; Lepidosauria; Squamata; Phrynosomatidae.
GCCAGAGUGAUGUAGCGGUUUGGAUGUUGGACCAAGGCUCUGAAGACCAGGGUUCGAAUCUCUGCUCAGCCA